AGAAAGCUUUCAACCAAGUUGAAUUUUGUAGGAAGAAAAUUUCUCUGUACAUUGACCGCUGACCAAUCUUUGAGAUUCAAAGAAAGAGAGUGAUACCUAAGGAUGGCUUAGAUUCUUAUUUCUGAAAGCCGCCUGUGUUGGUCACAUUAGACAAUGAAAAGGAAGCAUCUCCUUGGCAAACAUCAUCAUUUCCAGGCUUAAAUGUCAGCAUCUGUGCCUGGUACCUUGACGCAAGCCAACGUAUCUCCAUCGAAAAUACGCUCCUUGCAAUAAAAAGCACUUUGCUUCACGACGCGGUUCAUACUAAUUGCAGCUGUGCUGUAUCCAGCUCCUUCAUUCUUGAAGAUCACUGGACUAUUUGACUGUGUUUCUUCUCCCUGCCAAGAGAUCUCAUUCAAGUGGCUUUCUUUUAAAAAAUAUUUCAUGAAAUCUUGCCCUAAUAUAGCAUCUAUUUUUUUUUUUCCAAAAGAUCAGACCUUCAGCAAAGUGAGGUCUAGAAUGAAGAGGAAGAGGAGGAGGAGGAGUCCUGAGAAUUGACAGCCUGUUUCAAAUGUUAUUUCUCAUUCUCGGCGGAGACACUGACAUGUGCCUUUUGAAAGGGGAUACUGUACCUUUAACCUUGACUCUGAAUGCAUUCUUAAUUUGGGAUGCAAGCUGAGGUUCAAAAAUGGAUAGCCUUUGGGUGGUGAUUGGGGGGAGGGGUGUGGCUGGAUUUAUUUAUGAGGUGUGUGGAAAAUCUUGACAUCACAUGCUAGAGCCAUUAUUCACAUGUUACAUGACACGAGAUUGGCCCUUUUAAUGCAGCAACAUCACAUAAAAAAUUUGAUUUUGUCCUGACAGCAGGCUGGUCCUCGCCUGCUCUCCCACCGCCCCAGCGAAAUGUAAUCUUUUUAGGUUAAAGGCCACGGGAAAGUGAUUGGAGCAGGCUUUCAUCAGAUCCCAGAAAGCUGGGUUUGGAACGAGCUCCCUCGGUCACCACCAGCUACAGGAGGGUGGGCAUCGAGGGCUGGUUGUGAAGGAGUGUCUUCCGUGAGGAGAGCCCCCAGGCCAGCCCAGACCCUGUCCCAGCCCUUCUCCACCACAGCUGCUCCCUGGCGGCCAGCCCAUCAUCCAAGGAAAACAGCCCAGGCAGUGGAAAAUUACAGUUUUCCAAUAAGAGAGACCAACCACAGCUUUGUAGUUUUCAUUUCAGAAUGAGUACACAUGUCAUGUCAGAAGAGAAACCCUGGCAGGAUCUAGAAGUCACCCGAUGCC
RNAcentral lists this long non-coding RNA (1254 nucleotides) under Papio anubis (olive baboon). RNAcentral describes it as "lncRNA (ENSPANG00000047343.1)". The record is from RNAcentral. Lineage: Eukaryota; Metazoa; Chordata; Mammalia; Primates; Cercopithecidae.